UACGGAGGGUGCAAGCGUUAUCCGGAUUCACUGGGUUUAAAGGGUGCGUAGGUGGGCAGGUAAGUCAGUGGUGAAAUCUUUGGGCUUAACCCGAAAACUGCCGUUGAUACUAUCUGUCUUGAAUAUAGUGGAGGUGAGCGGAAUAUGUCAUGUAGCGGUGAAAUGCUUAGAUAUGACAUAGAACACCCAUUGCGAAGGCAGCUCGCUACACUAUUAUUGACACUGAGGCACGAAAGCGUGGGGAUCAAACAGG
Molecule: ribosomal RNA, 253 nt
Filed under: uncultured bacterium
Lineage: Bacteria
Description: partial 16S ribosomal RNA
Rfam family: Bacterial small subunit ribosomal RNA
Source: RNAcentral